UACGAAGGGUGCAAGCGUUGUUCGGAUUUACUGGGCGUAAAGGGCAUGUAGGCAGUUAGAUCAGUUAGGGGUGAAAUCCCGGGGCUUAACCUCGGAAUUGCCUUUAAGACGGUCUUGACUAGAGAGCUAGAGGGGAUAAUGGAAUACCCAGUGUAGAGGUGGAAUUCGUAGAUAUUGGGUAGAACACCAGUGGCGAAAGCGGUUAUCUGGCUAGCAACUGACGCUGAGAUGCGAAAGCGUGGGGAUCAAA
This 250-nucleotide ribosomal RNA is filed under the name uncultured prokaryote. RNAcentral's name for it is "partial 16S ribosomal RNA". It matches the Rfam family "Bacterial small subunit ribosomal RNA", at positions 524 to 772 of the family's 1533-position model. The record is from RNAcentral.